CCUACGGGUGGCAGCAGUGAGGAAUAUUGGUCAAUGGGCGUAAGCCUGAACCAGCCAAGUCGCGUGAGGGAUGAAGGUUCUAUGGAUCGUAAAACUCUUUUACAAGGGAAUCAAGUGCGGGAUGUGUCCCGUUUGGUAUGCACCUUAUUAAGAAGGAUCGGCUAAAUCCGUGCCAGCAGCCGCGGUAAUACGGAGGUUCCGAGCGUUAUCCGGAUUCAUUGGGUUUAAAGGGUGCGUAGGCGGCCGUUUAAGUCAGCGGUGAAAGUCUGUGGCUCAACCGUAGAAUUGCCGUGGAAACUGGCAGGCUUGAGUAUAGGUGAGGCAGGCGGAAUGCGUGGUGUAGCGGUGAAAUGCGUAGAUAUCACGCGGAACCCAGGUGGCGAAGGCAGCCUGCCAGGCCAUGACUGACGCUGAUGCACGAAAGCGUGGGGAUCAAACAGGAUUAGAGACCCGGGUAGUC
This 460-nucleotide ribosomal RNA is filed under the name uncultured bacterium. Its description in RNAcentral is "partial 16S ribosomal RNA". It matches the Rfam family "Bacterial small subunit ribosomal RNA", at positions 338 to 795 of the family's 1533-position model. The record is from RNAcentral.